Molecule: long non-coding RNA, 5343 nt
Organism: Cephus cinctus (wheat stem sawfly)
Lineage: Eukaryota; Metazoa; Arthropoda; Insecta; Hymenoptera; Cephidae
Exons: 3
Source: RefSeq, a predicted model, not a curated record
AAUCAAAUUGUGCUCCCAUUUUGAAACGACGUAGAGGAUCGGGAUAAAAAAAAUAGUUUUUUAGUUUGUACGAGAGGAGACCUCCCCCAAAAUUUCAGCCCGAUCGGCCGAAAAUUGCGUGAGAUAUCGCAUCUCACACAUUUUUCGCGAUAGAAACUAUAAGGCACUUGCGUAUCGCGGUCGUGCCUAAAAAGGAGGUCCCUGUAAGUGUUAGACGAAACGGUGGAAAGAAAUAUGAGGAAAUUGAAUGUGUAGGAGAUUAGGAAGAAUAUAUACAGAAUUUAUGAGGGGGAACUGAAAAACUGGGAACAAAAGAGAUGUGAUAAGAAGUUAAAAGAAAAAAAAAAGUAAAUAAGGUCUACGUAGACAAUGAUUUAACAAAGAAGGAAAAAGAAGUACAGAAAGGGCAAAUAGGGGCUAGUACGCAGCGAGAAGGGCAAAAAUAGGAUUUAUGGAAAUAUGGGGAAAUGGAUGAGAAUUCAGAUGAAACGAGGGGAAAGAAGAGUUAAAGAAAGGCGAGGAUUAACAUACACAGAUUGAUAGGAUAAAGAAAAAGGAUAGAUAUAAGAGAAAAAAGAAUAGGAAGGGGAGAAAAAGAAGAGGGGUAAUGGUAGAGGAGGGAGAAAGAUGAGGAUUGAAAAUGUCAUUUUGGGAGGUAAGAGAGAAAUAAAGAAAUAAAGGGUGAAAUAAGGAUGAAGAAUAUUGAAAAAAUAGUAAAAAAAUAGUAAAAAUAGUAAAAAAUAGUUUUGUUGAAGACAUGAUUGGAGGAAAAUGUGUGAGAAAUUAGGAAGUGAAAUACUGGAAAAGUAUACAUGGAUCGUUCAAGGAAUGGGGAGAGCAAAGAAGAGGCGAAAACAAGAGAAGAAUGGUAAUGCUAAUAAAGACGCAAAUAAAGGAAAUAAGGGAGAUCUGGCAAGAGGAAUACAAGCAAAAGUGAAGGAGGGGAAAUGUGAUGUAUAAUCGAAUGUAUUGUAGAAAAAGAAAAAAGAAACUGUUAGGAAAAGUGGACGAAGAGUUUGAAAAAUGGAGAUAAAAUAGAAAGAGGGUGAUAAUCGUAAUGCAAGAAUAGUCAAUAGAGGGUGAUAUGGAGUUGAAGGAAAGAAAAAACGGCAAAAAACACCAAGAAUAAGAAAAGGAACUGAGAGGAAGAGGGCUAAUGUUCAAGAAAACGUAGAGGAGAAUUAAUGUUCGCCGGGAAAUAGAGAAUGGGAAGAUGAAAUACAAAAGAGAGGAGUGGAGAAGGAACUGAUGAAAUUAAUAAGUAAAGAAAAGAGAGUGCGGGCGAGCAAGGAAACGAGAUGGAAAAGGAGAGUGGAAGAGUUAACAUAGUAUGAUAAGAGAGCGAAAGUGAGUGGUAGGAAAUAAACUGAGAAAAUAUAGGAAAUGGGGAAACAAGGACGUAUGCGUAUUGGAGAAGCGGAGGAGAUGUGCAAGAAGAAGAGGACGGGAUAUAGAAGGAUUUUUUUAAGUACAUAAAAAGAAAAAACCAAACAAAGAAGUGGUAAGUGCAACAAUAAAGGUAGUGAAUUGGUACAAAAAAAAUACUAAGGAGAGCUGCUACCACGGGUUUUCAACUGCUUGAAUAAAACAUACUAGUUUUAAUGAAUGUGAGCAGAUUGGACGUCUCUUUGCUCCUGGAAUUUUCUGCGGAAAUGUAAGAAAAGAGGAAAACAAGGAGGAGGAAGAGAGAAGAAAGAGAGAAGAAAGUAAGCGAAGUGACCGUUAGCAAUAAGGCAGGAUCAAGAGAAGGAAUCGGUUGGCGGAGAGGCAGUCAGUGUAGCAUUAAUAGAGUAUACGGUAGAAAGUAUUUGGAGGGAACUCAAAAACCAGAAAGGGAGAUGCAUAGCAAAGGUAAAGGGAAAAUUGGUGGAAACGUUUUAUCUGCAGAGACAACUUAUUGUAAUCUCAAAAUAUAUAAAAAUAUUCGCACAACAAUAAAUGAUUUAAUACUAUGUAUUAAACAAGAAACGAAGAUAACAAGUCAUAAGGAAGUUGCAAGAGAAAACACGAAGGAGCAAAAUAAGCACAGGAUUGAAUAAUAUAUAUUCCAUAUCAUUGUAUCUUCUAUCAACGUUUUUCUGUUUUCGAGUACUGGUUCGUGAUGUGUAAUUUAUACUAUACUAUUACUUCAAGCGUAUGAAGCAAGGGAAAAUUAAAAGUCAAGUUUAUUAUAUCUAAUAAGAUCUGAAACUAUGAAUAAUAAAUUAUUGAUAACCAUAGUUCGAAAAAUGUGAAUAUCCUAAUGUACUAGUGGAAAAUUGAAGAUGUAAUACUUGGAAAAAUUAGAAAGAAGUUAGAAUUUACAUGCAAUAUGUUGAAUUACACGGAAAAGUUAGUAAAUAUUCUGUUUUUUUUUUUUUUAGAUAAUGAAGUACUUUAUAUAAAUAAAAAUAUUUCAGUACAUAAAACAAUUGAUAAAAAUUACUGUGGUAAAAGCUAUACCACAUCUUGUAUUACAGAAAUAGUAUACUAAUUAUUUUUAGAAUAAGUGCGACAGUUAACAACAUAUAAACUUAUUUUGAAUUAAAUAACCAUUUAUAACCUACCAAUUAUCUUUCCUAAUUUUUUUUAGUGAACUGCAAAGAAUGUCUACUGAUUUUAUACAUUAGAAAUACAGUACUUAAACAAGAAUUUUUUUUUUAAUACAGCACAAUCUUUAUCUGUCCAUAGGUCACAUGAGAAGUAUUGUACUCAGGAGUCAUCAUGACAAUUUUGCGAGUAGAGUGCACUACAGUAAAUUCAUUUCGCACCAGAUAAGAGUAUUAUUUCCGAAGCGCCGGAUUUUAGUGGUGAAUUUUAAGCCCUUUGCUGCAUACAUUUUUUCUUACAAGCGAUUUAUUAAAAAUUGGGUACUCGGCGGUUUUUGGGGUCGCUGAUCACGAAUCUGGGGUCAAAUUCCAGAUAUUUAAAAUAGCGGAUCUAAUAUAGCUGAUCGAAACGCAAAAAAUAACUUGUUUUGAAUUAAAUUCUGUAGUGUAUGUAUUGCAACGCUAUUUUCUUUUCUAUCCAUAAAUAAUUUUCCCGAGAUAUCGCAAAAGUAAGUCAACCCCGUGAAUUCUCCAAAAUCGAAAACGCGGCAAAAACUGAUUUGGAGGUCAGGUAUACCGCAAACGGGAAGGCUCGCUUAUAAAUCUGGAAAGGGAUCUCGGAUCCCUGUAGCUACAACUAAUCCUAAAACUAACCUAAAUCGAUACAUCUGAAAAAUCUUAGAUCUAAACUUAAGGACCCUAAAUGAUAAUCUUAAAACUACUAUCUCCGAGGGAGACACCACCAGACAAGAAUCCUCGACGUAGUUGACCUUACUAGUCUGAAAAUCUAAGUACUAAAGUGAUAAUCUUACACCUAAAGGCUAGCGGGAGUCCGAAUCUCAAAAUGUGUUGUUAAAUGGGAUGACUCAAGACUACAGAACUAAACAGUAUGCCCAGUUCUACAGCCAGCUCGGCUGGGGGAGCGUCGUGGCGUUCCGAAGCAAGAUAGGAAGGUUAAAAACUCAAGUUCGAAUGAAGGAAACAGAAAAGAUUCCAAUUAGUUAAUGCACCAGAGCUGUAUUGAAUCACAAAUUCAUGCGAAGCAUAGAGUAGAAAAGUAGUUAAGUAACCAAAGAAGGUACUUGGCGAAGGCGUGUGGCAAUGCUUAGGUGCGACAAUCAGAAGUCAAAAUAUUUAACAAAAAUCCUUAAAAGUAGGUUUACAAAGCAGGAAGAAUUUUAAAAAGAUAAGAGAAUAUAAACUAAAAAUCGUAUACUAACAAGAAAGGUAAGUAGUUAUAUACCACUUCUGGCCGUCACAACAAACCCCCACCACUGUCCCCUGUGAGUCAUGGAGCGCGCAGCGCUCUGACCCCCUGCGCUGCACUAUGGCGCCACCCUCUCGCCUACGUUACCAGCUCUCCCCUCCCCCGCGACACUGUGGUGGAUCCCCCACCACGCGGCCCUGGUCAUGAGGCCCGAAACCACCCAGUAGCAGCGUUGCAUCUCCCCCAGGGGCCGUAUCACGGUCGGUAAUUAUGCAUUGACCGCCGGUCGGUAACUUUUUAAUUACCCUACGGAGGUAACGUAGUAAAGUAGAAUACGGCUCUUUUUUGUAAGAAAUACCUUAUAUUAUACAAGCAUUGUACGCAUUGGCGAUACUUUUUCGAUACCUUUAGCUAUCGAUGGGUGGUCAUCCAACCCCCUAAUAUUUUACUCGGGAUGAACCCUCCACAUAUAAAGUAAUUGCUUCUGGAAUGCUGGUGCCCCUCUUUUGCUUAAUCUAGCGAACGAUGCGCAAAUACGGUUGGCGUGGGGGGUACCACUGUCUUGACCAACCCUAUGUAUUCCAGGCCCUCGUAACCCCCUACUACAUGUGUCUCUUAUUUGCAACUAUGCAAAAAAUCAGGGCUAUGGUGGGGAAAAAGGUUACCUGUGAGAAGUCUUCGCAGCAUCUCGUGAGUACAUUGGUGAUAGUUCAGAUGGUACGAAUAUUAUAUAAAAUUGAAGAGAUUGGUGAUAGGAGAAACAACGGUAAGUGUAAAAAAAAGUUCUUGUUCCUGCUUUCAACCAUCUUUAUUUUAUCUAACGUUUACCCUGUUUUCUAGGCUAAUUCGGGAAAAGAAAAAGAGAGUGCGGAAAAAAAAAGGAAAUAUUAAUAAAGUGGUAUGCAUAUCGGUGUUGAACUUGUAUACAUUUAAAAAAAAAGUUAUUUUGUAUCUGACAUCUUUGACAUUUAUUUCUAGAUAUUACAAAAAAAGGACGAAGCGCACCAGGCCCCUUCAGGCUACAGCCGAGUGUCACCGGAGCUACGCAGCAAGGACGCACAGCGUUAUCCAGCGUGAUUGUUAACCAUAUAUAUAUAUAUUACAGGACCGAUCAUGGCGCCAAGACGGCCGGAUACACCACCCUAGGGGGCAGAAGGACCAUUCGAGGGGCCACUGCUGGACGGGAUACCGCCGCCCCUCAAUGCGUUCUUCGCCCGCUUUCACGAGGGCCAGUGCAUAUUCGGCUGUUUAUACGUGCGGGGCGGGGAGGAGGCGGGGCUAUACUACGGGUGCAUGCGAGCGCAGACGCCCGAGCACAGGGUUCAGUACACGGCGCGUGUGAAGCACUAUUUAAAGAUCGACCCCGCGAUAGAUCUGCGCGUGGGCGUCUAUGUACGCUGUGCUCGGUGUGUGAUGCACGCGUAUGCACCUGGUGAUUGCAUAACCUGCAUAGGGUACUUCUGCGACAAUAGGGAGCUGCUAUUAAGGCAGGGGGUUGCAGAAGACCCUCCCCCGCCCCAGGUGUAAAAUGUAAUAUGUAAAUAUGUAAAUAUGUAAAUUUUUAUUAUAUAGUGUAUAUAUUGUGACGUUAGACACAAAUGAAAACCG